AAGCGUGCCCGUGCGCUGGUGAGGUGGCGUCCGUUCUACCCGGUCGCUCCCGUUCCGCGCCAUGCAGAGCCCAGUCUCUGGCACCUGGCUGCUCUGAUCUGGUCUCAGCGCGGAGGGAGCAGAGGGAGUCCAUGGAGGAUCCCUCCGAGCCCGACCGGUUGGCGUCCGCGGACGGCGGGAGCCCGGAGGAGGAGGAGGAUGGGGAGCGGGAGCCGCUGCUACCGCGGAUCGCCUGGGCCCACCCGCGGAGAGGCGCCCCAGGCAGCGCCGUGAGGCUGCUGGACGCUGCCGGGGAGGAGGGCGAGGCCGGCGACGAGGAGCUGCCCCUCCCGCCCGGGGACGUGGGGGUCUCCCGGAGUUCGUCCGCCGAGCUGGACCGGAGCCGCCCCGCGGUUUCAGUAACUAUUGGUACUUCAGAGAUGAAUGCAUUCUUGGAUGACCCAGAAUUUGCCGAUAUUAUGCUGAGAGCAGAGCAAGCAAUAGAAGUUGGAAUUUUUCCAGAAAGAAUCUCUCAAGGUUCAAGUGGAAGUUACUUUGUGAAGGAUCCUAAGAGGAAAAUUAUUGGUGUGUUUAAACCCAAAUCAGAAGAGCCUUAUGGUCAACUCAAUCCAAAAUGGACCAAAUAUGUCCAUAAGGUCUGCUGCCCUUGCUGCUUUGGCCGAGGCUGCCUGAUUCCUAAUCAGGGGUACCUUUCCGAAGCGGGUGCCUAUCUUGUGGACAACAAGCUUCAUCUGAGCAUUGUACCUAAAACAAAGGUGGUUUGGCUUGUCAGUGAGACAUUUAACUAUAAUGCGAUUGACCGUGCAAAAUCAAGAGGCAAAAAGUAUGCUUUAGAAAAAGUGCCAAAAGUGGGUAGAAAGUUUCAUAGGAUAGGACUCCCUCCUAAGUUCUUAAAAUUAUAGAUUGGUUCCUUUCAGUUAUUUGUUGAAGGUUACAAGGAGGCUGAAUAUUGGCUUAGGAAAUUUGAAGCUGACCCUUUGCCUGAGAAUAUUAGAAAACAAUUUCAGUCACAAUUUGAAAGAUUAGUUAUUUUGGAUUACAUCAUCAGAAAUACAGACAGGGGCAAUGAUAAUUGGUUAGUCAGAUACGAAAAGCAGAAAUGUGAAAAGGAAAUUGACCAUAAGGAAUCAAAAUGGAUUGAUGAUGAAGAAUUCCUUAUUAAAAUAGCUGCAAUUGAUAAUGGUCUAGCAUUUCCUUUUAAACAUCCUGAUGAAUGGAGAGCAUAUCCAUUUCACUGGGCUUGGCUUCCUCAAGCAAAAGUUCCCUUUUCUGAAGAAAUAAGAAAUUUGAUUCUACCAUAUAUUUCUGACAUGAACUUUGUGCAAGAUUUAUGUGAAGAUCUCUAUGAACUUUUUAAGACUGACAAAGGAUUUGACAAAGCCACUUUUGAAAGUCAGAUGUCUGUGAUGAGGGGUCAGAUCUUAAACCUUACUCAGGCAUUGAGAGACGGGAAGAGUCCUUUCCAGCUAGUACAGAUACCUUGUGUGAUUGUGGAACGCAGUCAAGGUGGAAGUCAGGGUCGGAUUGUCCACCUGAGCAAUUCCUUUACCCAGACUGUCAAUUGCAGGAAGCCAUUUUUUUCCUCCUGGUAGUAAAUGUCAGAGUAAGAGAAACAAACUGUUUAGAAUUAUCAUGUUUUUAAAACAUCAUAGUAAUAUAAAUCUGCUGUUAGGAGCUCCAGUUGCUAAAACCUCAAUUUAAGUCUUUAAAAGGUUGUAUUUUGAAUGUAACCAAAAGUUUACAGUUUUUUGUCCAAAUAUUAAAUUUCUAUUUCAGGGAAGAAGUGCUAUAUCUCCUAUAUUGUAUUUUUGUAGAAAAUUUGUAUUUUAUGUUGUUGUUAGUUUAAAAGGUAAUUUUACACAUGCUGGAAUGACUGUAAUUACUCUAGAAUUCCAAGUAGAAUACAAUAACUUUUAAUAUUGAGAAGAAUGUUCAUGCUAAUUCUUCUUACAUUACAAAAGGCCUUUGAGGAUGCCUACGUCUGAAAUUGCUCUUACGAACUUUAAUAAAAUAGUUAGCUAAUAGAAAAACAGGUAAGAAUAAAGCAAUGUUGCCUUAAUUUCAAAAGCUGCUAUUUUAGAAUUUGAAUAAGUACUCCUAAAGUGACCAUUAUUAGGGACCAGAAAAUUAUAUCUUGGCUAAGUAAUAGAGGACCAUUUUGGUUUUUGUACUUGAGAAUAUUUUUGGUGAAUUACUUUGUUGUAGUGAGGAAAAAACCUAAGAAAUUUCCCCUUUUUUUAAAAAAUGGAAAUAUUCAAUUGAGACUUGAGGGGAAUAAUAGAAAAUUAAGGUAGAUCCCCAAUAUUUUGGAAUACCAAAAUUGCCUUAAAAAUUCCCUUCUGUUUCUUACAUGGGAUCAAAUACUUGAGAUUAGUACUUCAGAGUACUGGCCUUGUUCAAUUUAGUACUUCAAUUAGUAUUAAACUUCACUAAAAAGUAAACCAUACUCCAAAUUGUAUAUUGGAUUGCAUUUUGGGGUCCUAGGUCAUACGUUCUUCAAAAUUAUUAUGAUUGUACUAUUGUACUUGAAAUUACAGAUGUUAUUAUAAUUACAGUCAAAUGUAGACUAUCAGGCCAAAUUAAAGGGGAGCAUGGCAGAUAACCAUAAAGUCAUUUAUAUUUGAUUUUGAAAUGUAUUUUUGUACUUUAUUUUGAAUAUCAUCCAUAUGUCUGACAUUAUUGGAAUUUGUAACAUUGUUAAUGCACUAAGUGAUUUAAAUUCAAUUGAUGAAGAUGUGAUUUUACAGAAGCAGAAGUUUCAUUUUCUUGAGGCUUAAAACCAAUGUCACCACUUGGGCUUAACUGGGUAAUUUGUGGUCUAGGCCUUUUGUUUUCUAAGCUUACUAUCUUGUGUUUGUUUAUUUGCUUUUAAUGAAGUAUUUUGUGUAGAAGGUUAAAUUAGGAUGCAAAACAGAUCUGCCAUUCCUUUUUCCCUUAUAUCUUCCUUUUGGUCUUCAUGGACGAGAUGAAUGAGGAUUCUGCUGCCCUGAGGGAGUUCAUUGGAAACCUGCGUUCUCCUACCUCUUCCAACCCUCCAUUAGCUCAAUUUUGAGAUAAUGGAAAAUUGACUGGAAAUUCAAAACUCAAACUACUAUCUUUAGAUAUAAACACUAGUAAUUAAAAUGUGCCUUUUGAAGAUGUUUUCUAAGAGAAAGGAAAUACGUUGCAGUGAUGUGGGUACUGCUUUCAUAAAACAGUUUUUUCAGUAUUUUGAGAAUUGCCAUAUUAAUUUUUAUAAUGGAAAACUUAAUAAAUUGCUACUGUUUUAUAUCAUAAAAUUAAAAUACCAUGGUAAUAUUUGCAAAAGGUCUGGCCAUACCAGAAAAGUACAGUUGAGAUAGUUAAGAUAUAACCACAAGUCAGAGUACAUUGGUUGUAUUUUGUAAACUUUCAUGAACUGAAUUCUUAUUUAAAUAGUAUGGUUUUUUUUCAAUAAGUAUAUUUAUAGUGACAAAUGUGGUAGACUAAAGGUAAUAAAAAUCAUUGUCUUAAGAUUAUGUUCUUCUGUAUGUACGUGUUUGGAAUAUUUAGAAUGUUUAUGAACACAUUUACUAUAAAUGAUGCCAAACUAUCAUUUUCUUCAUAUAUUAAAGGUAUAGUUUAAUUCUU
RNA transcript from Homo sapiens (human), 3609 nucleotides. It is a transcript of the gene named phosphatidylinositol 4-kinase type 2 beta, with no coding region annotated. The transcript is spliced from 10 exons. Lineage: Eukaryota; Metazoa; Chordata; Mammalia; Primates; Hominidae. The record is from RefSeq and is marked reviewed.